Oncorhynchus keta (chum salmon) is the source of this 784-nucleotide long non-coding RNA. RefSeq lists it as uncharacterized. NCBI's taxonomy places the organism in Eukaryota, Metazoa, Chordata, Actinopteri, Salmoniformes, Salmonidae. The transcript has 3 exons. The record is from RefSeq and is a predicted model, not a curated record.
UGGUGACAAUAGUAGCCUGUCAUUUGUGUAAUGAAAUAUUAUCACCUGUGAAUGAUGCCCAGCUUGUGUCCAGUAUGGUAAAUCAUAGACGCACACCUCAUGUAGCCUAGUCCAUAUGCCUGUAUGUUUUGAUAAGGUUUGUAUCACAACUAAAGCCGGCCAAAUAACUUCUUAAAAUGAAGCACAUUAAUCCCCAUCUCAGAAUCGAAUGGUUUUGACCAUUUUUAACAGAGAGGAAGAGUAGCGAAGUCUUCCCCAGCAGGUGGGGUUGUUUCUUUUGCUCACCAAGCCAAUAGUUUUUAUAUACGAGGUCAAUGAGUGUCCAAUCUGGUCCCCCCAAAAAAAAAUGAAAAAAGAGGAGUGGCUUAUUUUCUACGUGAGGUUUAUAAAUCGAAGAUUCUGAAUGCUUAUGUUAUUAUGAGUAGGACACAUGACACCCCGGUCAACUUGAACAAAAACUGGAUUUUGGAUUUGUCUCGAGAUGGCCAUAGAUAUUCAUGGGUAGAGGUAUUCAUGGGUAGAGGUAUUCAUGGGUAGAGGUAUUCAUGGGUAGAGGUAUUCAUGGGUAGAGGUAUUCAUGGGUAGAGGUAUUCAUGGGUAGAGGUAUUCAUGGGUAGAGGUAUUCAUGGGUAGAGGUAUUCAUGGGUAGAGGUAUUCAUGGGUAUAGAUAUUCAUGGUUAGAGGUAUUCAUGGGUAGAGGUAUUCAUGGGUAGAGGUAAAGCAUCUCGCUCCAUUGAAUACAGGUGGUUGAUGAUGUCGACAAUCCUCAACGAAUAUUUUUUUA